RNAcentral lists this ribosomal RNA (491 nucleotides) under uncultured bacterium. RNAcentral's name for it is "bacterial SSU rRNA". It matches the Rfam family "Bacterial small subunit ribosomal RNA", at positions 29 to 507 of the family's 1533-position model. The record is from RNAcentral.
AGUGAACGCUGGCGGCAGGCCUAAUACAUGCAAGUCGAACGGCAGCACAGCAGAGCUUGCUCUGUGGGUGGCGAGUGGCGGACGGGUGAGGAAUACAUGGGAAUCUGCCCAGGUCGUGGGGGAUAACGUAUGGAAACGUACGCUAAUACCGCAUGCGCCCUUCGGGGGAAAGCCGGGGACCUUCGGGCCUGGCGCGAUUGGAUGAGCCCAUGUCGGAUUAGCUAGUUGGCGGGGUAAAGGCCCACCAAGGCGACGAUCCGUAGCUGGUCUGAGAGGAUGAUCAGCCACACUGGGACUGAGACACGGCCCAGACUCCUACGGGAGGCAGCAGUAGGGAAUAUUGGACAAUGGGCGCAAGCCUGAUCCAGCCAUGCCGCGUGAGUGAAGAAGGCCCUCGGGUUGUAAAGCUCUUUUGUCCGGAAAGAAAAGCAUUCGGUUAAUACCCGAGUGUUCUGACGGUACCGGAAGAAUAAGCACCGGCUAACUUCGUG